This is a long non-coding RNA of Homo sapiens (human), 4888 nucleotides long. RefSeq lists it as uncharacterized. The record is from RefSeq and is a predicted model, not a curated record. The transcript has 9 exons. NCBI's taxonomy places the organism in Eukaryota, Metazoa, Chordata, Mammalia, Primates, Hominidae.
CUGCUAACCUGGCAGGGACAGGUCUGUGCUGCUCUACAUGCUGUAUUGACCCUAAGAACACUUUUGAAGUGAGUCUUUCAGUGAUAUUACAUUAUUUUGGACAAUAUUUUCCUGCUGAGUUUUCUUGGUUUUAGCACUGAAUGCCCUAAAUUCCAGGAAAUCUUUAGUGCUGGGCAAACUGGGGCAGGUGGUCACCUUAGUACUGCUGAGCGCCCUCAUGCUACAGUUCUGAAGGUGCACCGCCCCCAGCUUUCCUCCCUGUCCUUCCUUGACAGAGCACGGUCUAUAUUUCUCUUUCCUCUCUUAUCUCUGUGCUGAAAUUGAGUUGAAAUGUUGGAGACAUUAAAUAAGCUGUUAUAUUAAAUUGCUGAAUUAAACCAGUCACCAUGCCUCAUACAAUAGCAACAACCUGCAUGGGAGUUUCUGCUCCUUGUAAACAAAAGACAACUCUUACUGGCACAGAUGUUAAUGGUCAGUGAAAUGUAGUCUGUUACUCUCUGUCUCAUGCAGGUUUGGAUUAAACAGGGGCAAUUCCUAACUUAGAACAAAAUGUCUCUAAAGGAGGAAAUUCCAGUGUCAGUGAACAGUCUUUGAACUUAUUUUUCAAUAGAUAAGCUUUCCUCGUACUCACUCAAUCAACUGAUAUAUAUUUAUUAGCAAAGCUCUUUGCUAGCUGCAGCGAGUGAUAUAAAAAGUUUUAAAAAAUGGGUCCUUGCUUCAACAAUGAAGCUAGGAAAAAACAGUCUACAUAACUGAAAAGUUAACUAAAAAUAAAAGCGAUAGAAAGGCAGUGAAUUAGGCUAAUAUUUAUUGACUCUCUGUACUAGCUAAUAUCUUUUGAGUCAAUAUAGCAUCUCUACUAGAUAAUUUCGUAUAUAACAUCUCAUUUAAUCGUUGCCCAAAUUACAUUUUUAUAGAUUAAAAAAACUAUAUCUUUAAAAGGUUAAACCACUUGGCCAUAAUUAAAUAGUAAGCAUGUGGUCAUGCUGGAAUUCAUUCAUUCAUUCAUUCAUUCAUUCAUUCAUUCAACAAGUAUUUAUUGAGCAUUUACAGUUAAAAGGAGGCAAAUCAAUUGAGACUGGUAUGACUUAUAAAAGUCUAAUGGAAAAUGUGGGGUUUGAGUUUCAAUGUGGGGUCAUGGGGAAGGCAGAAAGGGAAAGGAGUAGUGCUCAUGAACAAAUAAAUGGGCAUGGACCAGGUAUGUGUGUGAGAGUGGAGAGUGGAGAGUUUGUUGGUGAAGUAGAGGAAUAGUGAACAUUUAUCUGGAGGCUGAAUUAUGAAGGAACCUUGAUGCCAGUGUGGUUAGUUCAAGCUUUAUCCUGUAGGUAAUGGAAAUAAAAUGAUGAAAGAUGAGCUCGAUGGCCAUAUGCACGAUGCUUUGGAAGCAGAAUGAGAUGAGUUGGUCCCAUUACUCCAGUCAGCCGGGUGUUACGGUUAUUUCAGUUACGCAGCAAUUUACUAGCCUAUGGGAAGCAUACUGACGUAGUUAAACAGUAUUGGCUGAACUCUUAUGUAAGAUGUUGAGUUAAUCCUUAUUAUAAGAAAUUGUGUCAAAGGUGAGAUUUUCUGAAAGUCUAGAGCAGGGGUCACAAACUCAAAGGCCUUUAGGAACCGGAAAGGAAUCAGCUGGCUGGAGGAAUUUUGGAAGGGGUGAGGCAUACACUUUCUUCUAUGUUCCUGAAACCACAACAUUGUUAGGACUCAUCUGUUCAUGAGACCAGACCAAUAGAAAAUGAGCACUUCGUGGAUAAAAAAUACAGAUGGAAACUUAGUGGCUUGCACCAAAACAUCAGAUCUUCCUGGGUCUUGAGAUAGCUAGUUUUCAGACUGCAACUACACCAUCAUCUCUCCUGGUUCUCAGACCUUCAGACUUAGACUGAAACUUACAUAAUCAGCUCUCCUGGUCUCCAGCUUGCUGACAGCAGACUUUAGGACUUGUUAGACUCCACAGUGAAAGAUCACUCUGACUGCUACAUGGAAAAUGUGCUGGGGAGAAACAAGACUGCAGGAAAUAAGAGCAGUGAACAAGCUCUUGCUGUAAUUCAAGUCAGGUGUAGAAGCUGGAGCUGGAGCAGCCAUUCUGAACUAUGUCGAAAAUCUACCUGGAAAUAAAAAGUUGACUCACCGAUUCACACCAUUUCCAUUUGUCUUGGUCUGGCUUUGGUGUCGGGGCAUUUCCAGUCUCAUAAAAUGACUUUGCGUAACACAUGGAAACUAAUGGUGUUCUACAAUUGCUGAAGCAAGUGUAACACUAAAGUAAACUCAAGGGAUCUUUUCUAUUUACGGGCCAAUGAGAUUUCUAACCUCCAGUCCUAGAAGAUGCCUUCAAGCCUGUGCCCUUUGUCAGCUUCAUGAAUUCACAAUAGUUUGUGAGUGUUUCAUUGUUGUUGUUGUUUUCUCUUAUUCUUUCUGUCCUUCUCCUGAGUGGCAUUUAUGGGCUUUUUGGGAACAGAUCUUUAUAGACAUAAGGCUAGAGUUAGGAUGUCUUGGGAAGAUUCACUAAAAAAUGUAAAACCACCAACACAGUGCCACCCUUUGUUUCACGUAUUUGAUCAAAUAAGCUAGUCUGUUUUCAAUGACCGUGCUGUAUUUUUAACAAAAAAACAACGACCAAAAAGUCAAUAUUCCUAUAGUGUUUAUCUGGCACUUACCAUAUUAUGAGGGCAAAGGCAGAUGGAUAGCGUUCUAAAUGAGUACUUCAGGAGGAUGAGAGGAGGGCUUGGAGGAAUGACAGUCCAUCACUGCAGAUGUGUACUAAACCCUGCCAUGUUUAACAGGCCUGUAGAUUAAAAUUUAACAUGCUGCGUCUCCCACAUCAGGUUAGGUGGAUGGUUGAGCCGGAGUGAUAUUAUCGGCUCUAUUAGAAGGCCUCUCAUGAACCGAGUGGUGGUUUUAAUUAAAUCCAGUAGGUUGAGAGAAGUGGUUUGGCAGUUUCAAUUGAUUUAUUGUGUUUAUGACAUCUGGGCCUGAUUUAUUGUAUUAUUAACACACAGAAUUGUUUUUGGACACUCACCCUACAUAUUUUCAUUCUGGUUUGGGGGACUCAUAGCCUAUAAGUAUGUAGCAUUUUCAUUCUACUAUGAUUUUAGUUUUCUGUUUGUCUCUUUUUGUUUUUCUUAUAUUGGUAGGGUGGUGAACUGUUGAAUUCGUUUUGUAGAGUCUCUGUGGGUUUGUGUGCCUGAACAGGUCUGCUUGAACAGUAGUACUGGGUUGGAGUUGAUUAUCAUUAUCUGACCUAAGUUCAUGGAGCGACAAAGUGAGAGAGAUUGACAGUUUUUUAAUGUAGUUUAUGAAUUGCCAAACUAUUUGCUCCAUGUUAUGGUUUUCUAAAUUUUUUAAGUUUGGGCCUUGGAUAUAAAUAUGAAUACCAUGUCAUAGAACGUUUGUUUCCAAUUAUCUGAAAGUGGUGAGCAUAUUCAGCUGGACGUUAUAGACAAGUGUUGCCCAGUCCAAAUUUUAUAGCAGUCAAGUACAUUUUAGAAAGUAUCCACUUCAAACUCCACAAAGCAUGUGUAAAAAGAGAGAAAAGGGAAGAAUUAAGCUACAAUUUCUGCCAUACAGGAAGGGCAGAGAAGUAAGCAGGUCCCAAUCAACCUACAUGUCUUGUUAAUCUAUGACUGAGUGGUUGCCCAUUCCAGUUAUAGAUGCUAUGAUAACUCAUCGGGCUCCCAGCUUCCUGGCUUUCUAUUCCCUGCAGCUGGGGCCACCUAGCCCCUACCUGAAUCCCCAGCCAGGGUUCUGGACCAGAUCAGGAUGAAUUUAAGAAUGGCUAGGUAAAUAUCUUAGGCAAAUCAACUUCAAGUCAGCCUGUGGUUUAGCUCACUUUGACCUUCUGCCUUAGUAUUAGAAUUUAGAUUUUGCCAUUGUUCUUGGUAGUCAGCCUCUACGUGGUAUUUAAUCCACUAAGAAAUGACUUCCUACUUUUUAUUAUUGCAGCCAUUUCUCUAUCUCAGUAAACUAUCUUGUUAGUCUUAGAUUUCUUUCCUAAAUACCCACAGUACUGCUUUGAACUCAAGUUUGGGACAUAUAACACAACUACUUGUCUAUCUGGGUAUCUGCCUAUUACCUGUGGCCAGAAUCCACUGAUGACCACCUCCUGUGCAGAUGUGUGCCUAUGAAUUACAUGUUGGUCUACCAUCCAAUGCAGUCUGCCCCAUUAAACUAGGCUUACUCUGCUAUGUAAGUGUUUAUACAUCCUAAUACACAGAAAUAUCAACAUUCUUCUCUUUGAAACAAUGAUUUUGCCCUCAUUUCCCUUUGUGGCAUUAUCAGAUUAAAUAGGGAAUGAUUUCUCAUCACCAUGCUACAUAACUAUUUAGGGUUAAUUUUAAAACUUUAUUCUCUGUAGUACUCAAAUUGCUUUGGAAAACUAUGAACUUGUUUGAUUUUGGGGGGUCUGUUAAAUGGAAUCCUCCCAAUUGGGUGAGAUGGGAUAUGUGAAAGGAAGCUUAAUCAUAAAAGGCACUUACGGAAUCCCUACCUGUAUUUAACAUAGACAUGAAACUUAGCUGAGCAUAAAAUCUGCUUGGAAAACCUCAUUCAUGUUGAACUUAAGUAGGAAAUCAUACCAAAUUACUUUUCUAAAAACAGCUUUACUGAGAUAUAACUUACAUAUCAUUAAAUCCAAUCAUUUUAAGUAUACAACUCGAUGGCUUUUUAGUACAUUUUUACAAAAUUGAGCAAAUCUUACCAGAGUCCAAGUUCAAAACGUUUUCUCACCCCCAAAAUAGCCUCAUCUCAAAGAGAUCAUUAGUUAUGGUUUUAGAUGGUGAAUUACCUUCAAUUAGGGUAAUCAUGUAAUAUAUUCUGUAUAUAAGUUAGAGAAAAAAUAUAAAGAAUGUUUUAUGUUUGAAUUGCAUAUUGAGUGCUCACAUGGGUGGCCAAUUUA